Molecule: ribosomal RNA, 496 nt
Filed under: uncultured bacterium
Lineage: Bacteria
Description: partial 16S ribosomal RNA
Rfam family: Bacterial small subunit ribosomal RNA
Source: RNAcentral
GAUGAACGCUGGCGGCGUGCCUAAUACAUGCAAGUCGAGCGAACGGACGAGAAGCUUGCUUCUCUGAUGUUAGCGGCGGACGGGUGAGUAACACGUGGAUAACCUACCUAUAAGACUGGGAUACUUCGGGAAACCGGAGCUAAUACCGGAUAAUAUUUUGAACCGCAUGGUUCAAAAGUGAAAGACGGUCUUGCUGUCACUUAUAGAUGGAUCCGCGCUGCAUUAGCUAGUUGGUAAGGUAACGGCUUACCAAGGCAACGAUGCAUAGCCGACCUGAGAGGGUGAUCGGCCACACUGGAACUGAGACACGGUCCAGACUCCUACGGGAGGCAGCAGUAGGGAAUCUUCCGCAAUGGGCGAGAGCCUGACGGAGCAACGCCGCGUGAGUGAUGAAGGUCUUCGGAUCGUAAAACUCUGUUAUUAGGGAAGAACAUAUGUGUAAGUAACUGUGCACAUCUUGACGGUACCUAAUCAGAAAGCCACGGCUAACUACGUG